This 253-nucleotide ribosomal RNA is filed under the name uncultured bacterium. Its description in RNAcentral is "partial 16S ribosomal RNA". It matches the Rfam family "Bacterial small subunit ribosomal RNA", at positions 524 to 776 of the family's 1533-position model. The record is from RNAcentral.
UACAGAGGUCUCAAGCGUUGUUCGGAAUCACUGGGCGUAAAGGGUGCGUAGGCCGCACGGUAAGUCAGAGGUGAAAUCCCGGAGCUCAACUUCGGAAUUGCCUCCGAUACUGCCGUGCUUGAGGACUGGAGAGGAGUCUGGAAUUCACAGUGGAGCAGUGAAAUGCGUAGAUAUUGUGAGGAACACCUGCGGUGUAGACGGCUUACUGGACCAUCACUGACGCUGAGGCACGAAAGCGUGGGUAGCAAACAGG